RNAcentral lists this ribosomal RNA (1038 nucleotides) under uncultured bacterium. RNAcentral's name for it is "bacterial SSU rRNA". It matches the Rfam family "Bacterial small subunit ribosomal RNA", at positions 48 to 1074 of the family's 1533-position model. The record is from RNAcentral.
GCUACCAUGCAGUCGUACGAGAAAGUCGGCUUCGGCUGAUGAGUAAAGUGGCGCAGGGGUGAGUAACGCGUGGAUAUCUGCCCUUUAGUUGGGAAUAACGUACCGAAUGGUGCGCUAAUACCGAAUAAUACUGAGUGACUACUGUCAUUUAGUCAGAGAAGGCCUCUGUUUACUAGCUUUUGCUGAAGGAUGAGUCCGCGUACCAUUAGCUAGUUGGUGGGGUAAUGGCCUACCAAGGCUUCGAUGGUAAGCUGGUCUGAGAGGAUGAUCAGCCACACUGGAACUGAGACACGGGCCAGACUCCUACGGGAGGCAGCAGUGAGGGAUUUUGCGCAAUGGGGGAAACCCUGACGCAGCAACGCCGCGUGAGUGAAGAAGGCCUUUGGGUCGUAAAGCUCUGUCAAGUGGGAAAAACGCCUUCCCGUUAAUAGCGGGUAGGUUUGAUGGUACCACUGGAGGAAGCACCGGCUAACUCCGUGCCAGCAGCCGCGGUAAUACGGAGGGUGCAAGCGUUGUUCGGAAUUACUGGGCGUAAAGAGCGUGUAGGCGGUAUGGUAAGUCAGAUGUGAAAGUCCUGGGCUCAACCCAGGAAGUGCUUUUGAAACUGCCAUGCUUGAGUAUGGGAGAGGAGAGUGGAAUUCCCGGUGUAGAGGUGAAAUUCGUAGAUAUCGGGAGGAACACCCGUGGCGAAGCGACUCUCUGGACCAAUACUGACGCUAGACGCGUAAGCGUGGGGAGCAAACAGGAUUAGAUACCCUGGUAGUCCACGCCGUAAACUAUGAGCACUAGGUGUAGCGGUAUUGACCCCUGCUGUGCCGUAGCUACGCAUUAAGUGCUCCGCCUGGGGAGUACGGCCGCAAGGCUAAACUCAAAGGAAUUGACGGAGGCCCGCACAAUCGUGGAGCAUGUGGAUUAAUUCGACGCAACGCGUAGACCUUACUGGGCUAUGACAUCUCCUGACACCCCUGGAACCGAAUUACCCUGCUGCAUGGACAGGUGACAGUGCUGCAUGCUGUCAGUCAGCUCGGUCGUGAGAUG